UAUUGCAUGUUUUUUUAAAGGGGAGCCUCUAGAUCAUGUUGAGAGAAUAUUAGAAGGUUGUGGUUUCUUUCCAGGUAUAGCAAUAAGUCGUCUAAUUGAUAAAUCCCUGAUAAAUGUUUCAGAUGGUAAGGUAGGUAUGCAUGACUUGCUACAACAGAUGGGCAAGGAAAUUGUUUACGAGGAAUCCAAACAGCCUAGAGGACGGAGUAGGUUGUGGAAUUACAAGGAUAUUUGUCAUGUAUUGACAACAGAUAGGGGAACUGCAAAUGUUGAAGGCAUAUUACUUGACAUGUCUGGGAAUGGAUAUUUGGAGCUAAGUUCCACAGCUUUCAUGAAAUUGUGCAAUCUUAGAUUCCUAAAAUUCUUCAAUGUUACUCAAUCCACACAAGGACAAGUGUUGCUUCCUAGUGGCCUUGAAUUUCUUCCAGAAGAGCUAAGAUAUCAUCACUGGGAAAGAUACCCUUUGACAUUCUUGCCAUUAAAUUUUUGCCCAAAAAAUCUUGUAGAACUUCACAUGCCAAGGAGCAACCUCAUCCAACUUUGGAAUCAAGAGAAGGCUCUUGGAAAUUUGAAAUUUUUGGACCUCAGCUACUCUUUGGAGCUGACCAAAGUUCCAGACUUGUCUAGUGCUCCAAAUCUUGAGUUUUUAUGUUUGAGAGGAUGUGGAAACUUGAUUGAGAUUCCUAGUAGCAUUGGCAAGUCGAAAUGUCUAAAAGAAGUUACUCUCCAUAGAUGCUCAAAAUUGGAUAGUCUUCCACAAAGCAUCUGCAAUUCUGAAAUCUCUUACACUCCUUGACAUCUCAGAUUGUUUUAAUAUCAGUGGAUUGCCAGAGAACAUAGGGAAUUUAGAAUUGCUGAAGGACCUUUAUAUAUCUGGAAGUGGAAUAAAAACUUUACCAUCCUCCAUCAAUCAGUUGGGAAAAUUGGAAGAUUUAAGAUGUAGAGGAUGUGAAGGUUUGACAUUGCCUUCUUUGACUGGUUUGUCACGUGUAAGGGCAAUUGAUUUAAAUGGCUCUGGUAUAUUAGAAAUCCCCCAGAGCCUUUGGUUUUUAAUGUCAGUGAAAGAGUUAUAUUUAGGUGGAAACAAUUUCGAGAGCAUACCUCCAAGCAUUAAACAACUAUCCAAGUUGAAGUGGCUUGGAUUAAAAGGUUGCAAGAGGCUUGCAUGUUUACCCGAGCUUCCAUGCUUAGAAGAUUUGGAUGCAUCAGAUUGCACGUCUCUGGAAUCUGCAUCAACUUCAUUUCUUUUCCUAGAACAUGAAGAUGAUGAUGAAGAAGAAGAAAAACAUCUUGAG
This 1295-nucleotide unclassified non-coding RNA is filed under the name Hevea brasiliensis (rubber tree). Lineage: Eukaryota; Viridiplantae; Streptophyta; Magnoliopsida; Malpighiales; Euphorbiaceae. The record is from RNAcentral.